UGGGGAAUAUUGCACAAUGGGCGCAAGCCUGAUGCAGCCAUGCCGCGUGUGUGAAGAAGGCCUUCGGGUUGUAAAGCACUUUCAGCGAGGAGGAAGGUGGUGAACUUAAUACGUUCAUCAAUUGACGUUACUCGCAGAAGAAGCACCGGCUAACUCCGUGCCAGCAGCCGCGGUAAUACGGGGGUGCAAGCGUUAAUCGGAAUUACUGGGCGUAAAGCGCACGCAGGCGGUUUGUUAAGUCAGAUGUGAAAUCCCCGGGCUCAACCUGGGAACUGCAUUUGAAACUGGCAAGCUAGAGUCUCGUAGAGGGGGGUAGAAUUCCAGGUGUAGCGGUGAAAUGCGUAGAGAUCUGGAGGAAUACCGGUGGCGAAAGGCGGCCCCCUGGACGAAGACUGACGCUCAGGUGCGAAAAGCGUGGGGAGCAAAACAGGAUUAGAUACCCUGGUAGUCCACGCUGUAAAACGAUGUCGAUUUUGGAGGUUGUGCCCUGAGGCGUGGUUCCGGAGCUAACG
This 512-nucleotide ribosomal RNA is filed under the name uncultured bacterium. RNAcentral describes it as "partial 16S ribosomal RNA". It matches the Rfam family "Bacterial small subunit ribosomal RNA", at positions 355 to 857 of the family's 1533-position model. The record is from RNAcentral.